Molecule: non-coding RNA, 560 nt
Organism: Cricetulus griseus (Chinese hamster)
Lineage: Eukaryota; Metazoa; Chordata; Mammalia; Rodentia; Cricetidae
Source: RefSeq, a predicted model, not a curated record
GAGUGUGGAAACAGCUGGAAUUGGGAAGCACUGGGGAAGAAGUGUGGAAACCUAAUGCAGUGGAAACUUCUUGGAAUCAAUGAGGGUGAACUGGUGAGAACCAGCAAUAAAGGAUAGGGUCCUGAAUCAGCCAUAUUUUGUAAACAGAUGUUACUUCAGAUGAACAUGUGACCCACAGCUUCGGAGCUUGAGAGGUGGAGCUGAUAGAUCAUGAAUUCGUUGUACAAACAUUUCACUUUUCAGAUCAAACAGUGGGGAAUUAGUGAAGAUAAGGAAAACAAAAUGAAGAAUGAAUCCCAUUUUCCUGAAAAUAUCCCAAGGCUUGGCCUUAUUCUUCAAUGAUGAAUCCUCUCUGUAGACACAAUACUUGGUACCUGAUAACUGGGGCAUAUUAUUGUGAAUAACGACAUAAAAUGACAUGUGAGAAGUUUUAAAAACUGUGUCAGAUCACUUAAAGCCUGUUGCAGCAUCCUUAUUAAAAAUUUGUACUGUUGAAAAAGAUGUGAUCUACUUUUGUUUUACCAAUUCAAGCAAGUAUUUUAUUUGCAAUAAAGAAAUUG